CAUCACACCCACAACAUUUCUCAUCUUCUGGGUGUGGUGUGGAGUGGGGAUCUUAAAAUCAGUAAAUAAAAGCAUUAAAAAAACCAGCCUGCUUUCAGGCUGGGAGACUAAAGUUACAGAAAAGACCACGCUGUGUCCCUGAGGCUCAGGAGAAGGGGAUAGCCUUCUGGGAUUCUGCAGCCACUUAAGAUUCUCAUUUCGUGUUGAAAUUAAUAGAAAGCUCCAGUGUUUGUCUGGGUCAAAGAGACGUGAAGGAAGCCAGCAACUGUGAUGCGAGGAGGGAGGAUAAGAGACCACUGAAGAAGUGCUUCAGAUGAUGGUCUGCGGCCCUAUUUUCUCCUCUGAGUUGCGGUAGUGGCCCGUGCAGACACCUUGCUGCUGGCUUGUGUUGCUCCGAGAGUGGCCAUGUAGGGUGGUACUCAGAAUAUCUCAAGGACAACCUUGCUCAGUGGCUCCCCAAGGGGUUUUGCAAAGAAGCCACAGCAUGAAUGUGUCUCUCAAGGUCUAUGGCAACCCGGCUAGAGAGGAACUGAGAGGCACAGAGGUGUCAGUAACAUCAGCUUUCAGAUGCAAAGACACCUGAUGCCGUGCUGCAGACAACUCCGAAGCAGGUCCGGAAGGUCACACUGAAACAAGAAGCAGACCUCUCCCAGAAUAGGCAGAACAAUACCCCCCAACUCCUGCUUGCUAUGGAGGAUUUUAUGUAUGAUGUGGAAUCAAGAGCUGUUUGAAGACUGGGGAUUUGGGAGAGUCAUCAAAAGCUGUCUGUUUUCCUCUGGAUUUUGCCUUGCAGGUGACUGACCUUUUAACAGGUCAUAAGAAUGGCUGGAUCAAAUGACAAUGAGACAGUUCUGUCCAAAUUUCUAUGUAGUACAUACAGAUGAGAAAUUUGGUCUUGAAGGCCUGGAGAGCUAUGCGUCACCGAUACACGAAAGCUUCUUGGGAAAUGCAAAAAUUCAGAUAUCUACAACUGGAUAUGCAGCUACAUAAAAUAACACCAUUGUAAAGAUUUCAAACCCAGGCUUCAAGAGCUCUGCCUGACCUUUCCACCUCAAAUAUGAAGACAAAUGGCCAUUGACCACUUCUACCUCACCAAGAAACAGGAUCCUUUCUCCAGCUGACAUCCAGCCUGACAGAGCUCUAUUAAAGAACCAGUGGGACUACAGCAGUGUUCACCACCUGAGCUCUCCUGUGCCCUGCGACCAACACUUCAAAUAACCUCAAUGAGAAUGGAUGAAGACAGGGUCUUUACCCAUGGUUUCAGUCUCACGCCUCUGGUUCUGCACUUGCUCAGCAAAAUAUAAUCCCCUAGAACUGAGGAAGGGAAGGUAGCAAAAUGAUCUCUUGGCAAAACACCAGGAAGGCUAAUGAAUAAAUAAAAUAAAUUGUAGCAAAAUUCCCAGGUACUUCAAAGUGUGAGCAUGGUCCUCCACACUUGGAGUCCUCCAUGCAAAACCACAUGCAGAGUUGUGCACCACAGGACCACGGCAUUCAAGUAUGGGGUAGAGCGAGUCAAAGCCUCCACUGGAAUAAACCAAAUCCUGAAACACUGCAAUGAAGCCAGCAUGAUGGACCCGCAUGUGGACCCUGAUCAGUGAGGAGUUGCUAUAUGGCCAGGUAGUAGCACAGCACCUUACAUGAUGACUAAGGAAAAGGAUGUACCAGGCUGUUGAAUUUUACAUCUGCCCAUUUCAUCGUAUAACAUCUUGCCUUAUCUUUGGAUAACACCGAACGGAUUCACAACCCUCAUGGUAAGACAGUGCCAAUGUGUUCGUUCACAGAGAGCAAAGAGUUACAGCAUGGCAAAAAGCUAAUUUCUGGACAUCCACUUCCUUAAGCUGUAGGAAAUAAUUGACUUUCACACUGAGACAGUUUUUCUGAAUUUCGUAUGUGCGUGCUUUCUCUGAAUCACUGUUUUUGACGUUUUGUUUAAUAUGUCAUAAAUUUUUACUACACUUGACUGGUAUAUAUCAUGAUAGCACUAAUGUUUCAAUACAGCAACAAUUUUAUGUAUUCUUCGUCAUGUUUUGGUAAAAAGGAAAAUGCUUUUUGUAUUUUCUUUGGUUAAUUUUAACAACAAGGGCAGCAGUUAGUUGUCAGGCCUGGAAACAGCACUUUUGCAGAUUAAAAAGGCUGUGGAAAAUUUCUAGGUUUGUCCAAGGAGAGAGUUUCUAGGUGAGGAAGAAACCAGUGGAACAAUUUUAAGAGAAACACAGAAAUAUCACUUUAAUCAACAUGUACAACUCCUUUUGGAACAAAAAGUUCUGCUUUUUUAACACAAAAUCAAGCAAAUAUGAGCUAGCAUUUCUCAUGUUCAGAGAGUUCACCAAACAGUGGCUAACAAACAUACUUUUGCAAAGCUUUCUAAAGGUCUUUUUAUUUAGCAAUAUAAGGCAAAUAUUUCAGCUUGAUGACAAUAGAUAAGAAGUACGGACUGACAAAUACAAAUUGGAUUUUUUUUUUCACCCUAGGACUUAAGAAAUAUCUCCAAGCUGACUAAUAAAUCCGGUCACUUCCCCUCUGUCUCACUCUUGUCCAGUCUGUGAAGAGCUCCUAAAUAUUUGUCAAAUGCAAACAAGAAAUUAGAAAUAGGAAAGGUGUGGCUAUAUACAGGAAAAUGGAUAUCUAAAAAGUUUAAGGGGGAAAAAAAAAAAGUAUAAAUUACACACAGUAGCCUGCUCCAGGGCUAUUGAAUUCAGCUGGAGCUUUUCCAUCGGCCUCAAUGACCUUUGGACUAGGCCCACCACUGUUGUGACGAAAUGCAGAGUUCUCAUCUCUCUGCCUAUUCAACCCCAAACCCAGUCUCUGUGCUGGAGCCCUCCCACCCCAGCUGAAGCUGGAUUCGGACCACACUUCAGCCAGGACACCUGAGCUGAAAUCCAACCUAUUCAGCGAACACAGCACAUUGUUUAUUGAAGCAGAUACCGCACUUAAAAUGCAAGCAUCAUGUGGAGGGACUCUGUCCAACUCUCCUUUGAGUCCAGCCGACUGGAAUCAAAUUUAUCCGUCCACUUCUGCUGCUCUGUGACAGUCUGGCAACACAAAGCAGUUGUGAACUUCUGGGACCACUUGAAACAUACUUGGCCCAGGUAUAAAAAGUUACAAAAGGGACUGGGCAAGGUAGCGUGAUCUACCCAGCACAAUCAUUUUAAGGGAGGGUCAUGACUGUAAAGCUUUACUUUUCCUUAGGUGACCCCCUUGCUCUGUGCAGCAGUGAGAACAAGGGACUGGACAGCGGAUGACAGCUUGCACUUGUGACAGGAGUUUUUCCAGUGUGUUUCCUGCGCUGUACAAGGUGAAAUAAUUCACUUGAAUUUCCCCUGCUCCUUUGCAACUCUAUAAAAAGCAAAACUGGUAUGGAAGCAGAGUGCUUAUGGGCAGGAUGAAAUCAAAGUGGUGCACUUUUGUAGUCUUUUCCAAACACAAUAAAUUAGAGGUGUGGUUUGAUGGGGUUUUUGGUUGGUUGGUUGG
Long non-coding RNA from Chroicocephalus ridibundus (black-headed gull), 3471 nucleotides. RefSeq lists it as uncharacterized. NCBI's taxonomy places the organism in Eukaryota, Metazoa, Chordata, Aves, Charadriiformes, Laridae. The record is from RefSeq and is a predicted model, not a curated record. The transcript is spliced from 6 exons.